GGCCGCGGUAUCCUAACCGUGCGAAGGUAGCGUAAUCACUUGUUCUUUAAAUGGGGACUAGUAUGAAUGGCAUCACGAGGGUUAAACUGUCUCCUUUUUCUAAUCAGUGAAACUAAUCUCCCCGUGAAGAAGCGGGGAUUAUUUUAUAAGACGAGAAGACCCUAUGGAGCUUUAAACAAAUUUACACCUGCUUUAAUAUAUUUUACCUCCUGAAUACUCACACAAAUAAUAGCAUGACUGUUAAAUAGUUUUCGAUUGGGGUGAUCAUGGAGAAAAAAAUAACCUCCACGACGAUAAGGGAAUAUCCCUGAGCCAAAAGCCACAACUUUAAGCACUAAAAAAUUAACGCACUUUGACCCAAUUACUUGAGCAACGAACCAAGUUACCCUAGGGAUAACAGCGCAAUCCACUUCAAGAGCUCCUAUCGACAAGUGGGCUUACGACCUCGAUGUUGGAUCA
Molecule: ribosomal RNA, 459 nt
Filed under: Boana aff. steinbachi INPA-H 038747
Lineage: Eukaryota; Metazoa; Chordata; Amphibia; Anura; Hylidae
Description: partial large subunit ribosomal RNA
Rfam family: Bacterial large subunit ribosomal RNA
Source: RNAcentral